Molecule: RNA transcript, 2295 nt
Organism: Aegilops tauschii subsp. strangulata
Lineage: Eukaryota; Viridiplantae; Streptophyta; Magnoliopsida; Poales; Poaceae
Source: RefSeq, a predicted model, not a curated record
UGUUCGGUCCAACCUUAUCCCCUGCAAUUUCCCCGCUCUCCCCUCACUCGCCGUGGUAAAACAAUGGCGCUCCACCUCGCGCGACCGUUCCUCCCCGCCGGCCUCCCGCCGCCGGCGCGCCGGCGCGCUCGUGCCCGGGCGCAUCCCCUCUCCCCCACCGCCGACGCGCGGCCCCCGUCCUUCAGGAGGCCCUACACGUCCGUCCUGGUGGUGCCCACGGGGGUCGGCGCCGCGGUCGGGGGCUUCGCCGGCGACGCCCUCCCCGUGGCACGCGCCCUCGCCGCCGUCGCCGACUGCGUCAUCUCCCACCCCAACGUGCUCAACGCCGCGAUGCUCUACUGGCCGACGCCCAAUACGCUUUACGUCGAGGGAUACGCCCUCGACAGGUUUGCCGAAGGCGCCUGGGCUCUUCAGCCAGUCCACCAGAACAAGGUAGGCUUGGUGUUGGACUCCGGGAUCGAGGAGGAGCUCCGGCUCCGCCAUUUGCAGGUCGCGGAUGCGGCGAGGGCUUCGCUCGGCCUCCCUGUUGUGGAGUACGCUGUCACGGAUGCUCCUUUAGAGAUCAAGACCUGGUUCGAUCCGAAGUGUGGGAAAUCAACCGGGAGUGUCGGGAACUCCGAUUCCCUGUUAAGAGCGGUCGACGCGCUAGUGAACCAGGCAGGCGUGAAUGCUGUGGCUGUUGUCGCGCGCUUCCCAGACGACGACCCUGAAGAUUCAGAUUGCUAUAGGGAAGGAAAGGGAGUUGAUCUGUUAGCCGGAGUUGAAGCAAUCAUCAGUCACCUAAUUGUGAAAGAAUUCAAAAUUCCUGCUGCUCACGCUCCUGCGGUGUUGCCCCUGCCACUCAGCCCAUCAGUGUCCCCACGAUCUGCUGCUGAAGAGAUUGGUUAUACCUUUCUACCAUGUGUGCUUGCUGGUUUAAGCACUGCUCCUCAGUAUGUGACGAGGAGGCAGGGUACCUUGGACAGUGGUUGCAUAGUGGCUAGUGAUGUUGAUAGUGUGAUUCUUCCAAGAGAUGCCUGUGGAGGUGAUGGUGCUCUUGCCUUUUCUCGAACUGCAAGAAAGAACAAGCCCUUAAUCAUUACCGUUCAGGAAAAUGAGACGGUGCUCGAUGACACCCCUGAUAAAUUCAAUAUUGAAGCGCUGAAUGUCCAGAACUACUGGGAAGCAAUUGGAGUUAUUGCUGCUCACAAGGCAGGCAUCAAUCCAAAUGCUCUCAGAAAACAAGGACUUGACCAUCUUAAGAGCCAUCGACGAUUGUACUCUGCCCGAUCUUCUGGUCCUAGGCCAUACGCCUCUUCUGCAACGCAGGAUAAAGUAUAUGUACACCAGUUAGUUUGACAAUUUAGUACAGAAGAAAUCAGUUUUAGCAAGUAGGAGGCUGCAAAUUUUGAAGUCCCAGUGUCAUUGUGAUCAUGGAUGUUGUACUCGAAGCCAUUCUUCGGAUCAAUUAAUUUCUUCAGUUGCUAGACAGGGGCAGUGCUAUGCUCCCUGUCCACCACACAAGUGUCAUGCUGAUUGCUUUUUGACGGGCAACGGGCAGGAGCUCUGCCAAUUCAUUAUAGAAGAAGGGAGAAGGACCAAAAUCCCACAGUUUGGUACAGACAGUGCCAAGACCACAUAGUGGCAAAGCGAAGCAGCUAGUUAAGAUACAGCCUCCCAGAACAAAGCUAUCUCAUCUCUCGCCAUGGCUGUAAUCGUCUCAGGCGAACACCUUUUCUCCUCAAACGUUCGGCGGUUACGUUCCUUCCAGAGAUUCCACACCACGUAGGCCGCCGUGGUUACCUGCUUGCGCGAGUCCUGAAGCUUUCCCAGCCCAAGCGUUUUCCACCACCAAUCCUUGAUGGUAGCAGAAGAUGAAGCAAUGAUGGCCGCCUUGCCGUCCGAGUUCUGAAACCCAUGCCAAACCUCCCGGGCGAAGACGCAGUCCAAAGAUGUAUGAGUCGUCAUGCUGAUUGCUGAGGGCAUUUAUGUCUUGAUGUGUCAUUCUGCGCUCUCAAAUCGUCGACUCUCUGUUGUUGCUGUCUGCAUCUACUCAGAAUACGCAUGUUUGUCAGAGUGGGUAGUUGCUGCUUUUGCUUGCUUGUUCCAACUACCAAUCAAACUGCACCUUCAACUUAGAUGAGAUGCAGCUUAUGACUUGCUGUUUGUGUGUGUUAGUGUACUAGAUGCCUGUUUGUUUAUGCUAGCUUGCUGUUGAAGUACAUAUUUACCUGAUUUGCACUUCACAUGCAGAUUCUGUGCCUUUAAAUAGGUAAGGUCUUUUUUCAGCAAUAGUUUCUUUUUCUCACUAGCAUA